UCCGUAGCCGGUUUGAAAAGUUCCUGGUUAAAUCUGGUAGCUUAACUAUCAGUCAGCUAGGAAUACUAUCUUACUAGAGGGUGGGAAAGGUUUGGGGUACUUCAGGGGUAGCGGUGAAAUGCGAUAAUCCUUGGGGGACCACCAGUGGCGAAGGCGCCAGACUGGAACACGCCUGACGGUGAGGGACGAAAGCCAGGGGAGCGAACAGGAUUAGAUACCCUGGUAGUCC
This 229-nucleotide ribosomal RNA is filed under the name uncultured bacterium. RNAcentral describes it as "partial 16S ribosomal RNA". It matches the Rfam family "Archaeal small subunit ribosomal RNA", at positions 518 to 747 of the family's 1478-position model. The record is from RNAcentral.